UGACUAGCCACGUCCAG
Molecule: ribosomal RNA, 17 nt
Filed under: Mychonastes timauensis
Lineage: Eukaryota; Viridiplantae; Chlorophyta; Chlorophyceae; Sphaeropleales; Mychonastaceae
Description: partial 28S ribosomal RNA
Source: RNAcentral